Molecule: ribosomal RNA, 253 nt
Filed under: uncultured bacterium
Lineage: Bacteria
Description: partial 16S ribosomal RNA
Rfam family: Bacterial small subunit ribosomal RNA
Source: RNAcentral
UACGUAGGGUGCAAGCGUUAAUCGGAAUUACUGGGCGUAAAGCGUGCGCAGGCGGCUAUGCAAGACAGAUGUGAAAUCCCCGGGCUCAACCUGGGAACUGCAUUUGUGACUGCAUAGCUAGAGUACGGUAGAGGGGGAUGGAAUUCCGCGUGUAGCAGUGAAAUGCGUAGAUAUGCGGAGGAACACCGAUGGCGAGGGCAAUCCCCUGGGCCUGCACUGACGCUCAUGCACGAAAGCGUGGGGAGCAAACAGG